Molecule: unclassified non-coding RNA, 608 nt
Filed under: Hevea brasiliensis (rubber tree)
Lineage: Eukaryota; Viridiplantae; Streptophyta; Magnoliopsida; Malpighiales; Euphorbiaceae
Source: RNAcentral
GCAAAUGUGAAUUGCGAGUGUUUAUUCUUCGAGUUGGAAAGGAAGUCUUGGAUAACCAAAGUGGAAACUUAGCUUCUAAUGGGGUAAGUGUUGGGUGUACUGCCACCUCUCAUAAAACUGAAUGUUUUCCAAAGAAAUCCAGAAAAAACACUUUAAAGGCCCAUUCAUGGCUCACCACAAAGUUAGAAAAAUGUGAUAAAAAGGGGUCUAAUAAGAGUCAACUAGCAGCAGUUUCCAGAAGGAAACAUGGCAAUGCAACAAAGGGUUCUGCCCGUGCUAUGCUGUGCUCUCAGUCAAGAGGUGGCAAUGAAAAGCUGGAGGUGGCCACUGACAGUGGAAAGAAUUUGGAUGUUGAACUGAGUUUAAAUGAUGGAGCUGGUGGGAGAAUGAUAGUGGCACUCAAUGAAGAGAAAGCAGCCAAGUCGUUUAACUCAGGUUUUCCUAAUUUUGCCAGAAUCAUGAGGAAGUUCAACAUCAGUGGUUCAUAUACUCUGAAAAUCCCUCACCAAUUUUCUGCAGCAUAUCUCCCCAACUGCAAAACAGAGAUGGUCCUUCUUAAUUUACGAGGAGAACGCUGGACAGUGAAUUCAGUCCCAGACUCAAAAGGG